CGGGACGGGUGAGUAAUGUCUGGGAAACUGCCUGAUGGAGGGGGAUAACUACUGGAAACGGUAGCUAAUACCGCAUAACGUCGCAAGACCAAAGAGGGGGACCUUCGGGCCUCUUGCCAUCGGAUGUGCCCAAAUGGGAUUAGCUAGUAGGUGGGGUAAUGGCUCACCUAGGCGACGAUCCCUAGCUGGUCUGAGAGGAUGACCAGCCACACUGGAACUGAGACACGGUCCAG
RNAcentral lists this ribosomal RNA (233 nucleotides) under uncultured bacterium. RNAcentral's name for it is "partial 16S ribosomal RNA". It matches the Rfam family "Bacterial small subunit ribosomal RNA", at positions 100 to 334 of the family's 1533-position model. The record is from RNAcentral.